Molecule: non-coding RNA, 99 nt
Filed under: Companilactobacillus ginsenosidimutans
Lineage: Bacteria; Bacillati; Bacillota; Bacilli; Lactobacillales; Lactobacillaceae
Description: Lactobacillus ginsenosidimutans PreQ1-II sequence
Rfam family: PreQ1-II (pre queuosine) riboswitch aptamer
About the family: Q is a hyper modified nucleoside present in some anticodons in tRNAs (Try, Asn, Asp and His).
Source: RNAcentral
CCAAGUAGAAUGUACUGAGGUGCAAAAUGCAUCACUGCGAUACUUAUUUCCUUUGAUCGUAGUUAUUUAGUGGCGAUUGCCAUAAAGGAGCUAAUAAUG